RNAcentral lists this transfer RNA (74 nucleotides) under Elusimicrobiota bacterium. Its description in RNAcentral is "Elusimicrobia bacterium (anaerobic digester metagenome) tRNA-Ile". It matches the Rfam family "tRNA". Rfam says of the family: Transfer RNA (tRNA) molecules are approximately 80 nucleotides in length. The record is from RNAcentral. Lineage: Bacteria; Pseudomonadati; Elusimicrobiota.
GGGCUCAUAGCUCAGUUGGUUAGAGCGUACCCCUGAUAAGGGUAAGGUCGGUGGUUCGACUCCACCUGGGCCCA